ACGAACGCUGGCGGCGUGCCUAAUACAUGCAAGUCGAACGGUCUUUCUAUGGAAGCUUGCUUCCACUGAAAAGAUAGUGGCGAACGGGUGAGUAACACGUGGGUAACCUGCCCAUAAGAGGGGGGAUAACAUCCGGAAACGGGUGCUAAUACCGCAUAGUUUUCUUGAUCGCAUGAUCGGGAAAGGAAAGACGGCCUUUGUGCUGUCGCUUAUGGAUGGACCCGCGGCGUAUUAGUUAGUUGGUGAGGUAACGGCUCACCAAGACGAUGAUACGUAGCCGACCUGAGAGGGUGAUCGGCCACAUUGGGACUGAGACACGGCCCAAACUCCUACGGGAGGCAGCAGUAGGGAAUCUUCCGCAAUGGACGAAAGUCUGACGGAGCAACGCCGCGUGAGUGAAAGAAGGUUUUCGGAUCGUAAAACUCUGUUGUCAGAGAAGAACAAGUUGGAGAGUAACUGCUCCAGCCUUGACGGUAUCUGACCAGAAAGCCACGGCUAACUACGUGCCAGCCGCGGC
RNAcentral lists this ribosomal RNA (517 nucleotides) under uncultured bacterium. RNAcentral describes it as "bacterial SSU rRNA". It matches the Rfam family "Bacterial small subunit ribosomal RNA", at positions 29 to 518 of the family's 1533-position model. The record is from RNAcentral.